CGAAACAUUGGUUACCGUACGAUCACUGAAGUUAAGCAACGUCGUGUCUAGUCAGUACCUAGAUGGGUGACCGCUUGAGAAUACCAUGUGCU
Acanthosepion pharaonis is the source of this 92-nucleotide non-coding RNA. The record is from the annotation of a GenBank genome assembly. Lineage: Eukaryota; Metazoa; Mollusca; Cephalopoda; Sepiida; Sepiidae.